GGGGAAACAGCUCUGUGGAGAGCGCAUGCUUCACAGGCAUAAGGUCCUGGGUUCAAUCCCCAGUACCUCCA
RNAcentral lists this transfer RNA (71 nucleotides) under Camelus bactrianus (Bactrian camel). It matches the Rfam family "tRNA". From Rfam's summary of the family: Transfer RNA (tRNA) molecules are approximately 80 nucleotides in length. Their secondary structure includes four short double-helical elements and three loops (D, anti-codon, and T loops). The record is from Rfam by way of RNAcentral. RNAcentral also lists the same sequence under 2 other names. Lineage: Eukaryota; Metazoa; Chordata; Mammalia; Artiodactyla; Camelidae.